UCCAGCAAGAAAAUAACGUGUACAACAAUACCAAGUAUCCGACCCAGCCCCGUAUUUCUUUUCUUUUUCUUCUUCAACGCGAAAGAACCCAAAAUCUUGAACCAAAAAAUCAGGCAGGCCCAAAUCGCAAAUUAGUCCAGCGAAUCGACCCGAAAGUACUCUGCGGUUCCUUUUUCUUCUUCCUCAACGUCCCUAUAUUCGUACUUCGGCAGUAGCAAAAGCAGUAUUACCUUGUCCCCGCCAGCGUGAGAUCGCGCCACGUCGAUGCUUUUAGGACUGAGGACUGAUCAGGAUCGCUUGCGUCCCUAUUUUCUUUUAGUCUUUUCCUAGAAAUUUGGCUGAUGGUACAAGAGACAGUUGUCUCCCCGUCCCUUGGGGGAGAAGUUUGAAUUUAAAUUGGGUUGGGGUUCCGAUUUUGCCCUCCAUCUUUCCCCCUCAAUUUAGACCUAAUUUCACCUUUAUAUGAACCUCCCUUCUCAUCCAUAUUGGAGGUUAGCUUUCAGUUGGAAAAUUCAGUGUUAGGAUAAGUAAAUGGAAAUUUUGAGUCUAAAUUUCUAGGGAAAAAAAGUGAUAGUAACGUUAAGAAAAUAUUAUCCAGGAAUUAUAUUUUCGCUCGAGGCUCAAAGUUGUGGCUGGAAGAUCGUGACUCUACUCGUUCUUGUCUCCUUCGCUGCUUCAGAAGAGGCUUCGAGUUCACGAAGAACUCCUUUCUUCCCUAGUAUUUGCUGAGAGCCAUUAAGGCUCGAAUCUUUUAUCGAGUUAGUCUAUUAAAUCGCAGAAUAAGUUCCGAAAAAGCGUACAGGUCCCGAAGUGAGGAAAUCGUAGUGGAGGAAGUCGAAGAGAGUGGGAUAUAAAGGCCUAAAUUUAUUUCUUGAAGUUCUGUAUUUUGUUAUUUUUGGGCUUAAGCCCUUGUGCUUUUAAUUAUUUAUUAUUGUUGUUUGAACUUUAGGACAUGUAACAUUGAAGUGGGUCAAAAAUCCAAAAUGAAAUGGGUCAAAAUACUGGUCCAGACGGACAAAAACUGGAUCUGGGUCCAAACCAA
This is a long non-coding RNA of Solanum pennellii, 1042 nucleotides long. RefSeq lists it as uncharacterized. The record is from RefSeq and is a predicted model, not a curated record. The transcript has 2 exons. Lineage: Eukaryota; Viridiplantae; Streptophyta; Magnoliopsida; Solanales; Solanaceae.